GAAACAAUUUCCCAAUCACUCACAGUCUUCACUCAUCAUCUAGCCCACCCACCAGUGACUAUAGCUCUACAUAAGAUUCAUCAUCUCUCUAAAGCUCAGUCCACUCUCCCAUCCUCCAAACAUGAAAGGAUAAUAUACACUUCUCUGCACCCCAUCCAUGAUCAGUCUCCAUCCACUCCACAGAGAGUGUCUCUCCCCUCCUCACUCCUAUCAUCAUAGCCCCCACCACUCCAUACUGCUGAGAAGUCAUUUGCUGUGGAUGCACACAGUAAAUCUGACUGUGGGCACAAGACUGAGUUGACUAACUCAGACACAAAUCCCCAGACACUCACAGAGGCAACAAAUCACACAAGGCCAACACUGAUUUCAGACCACACCCACAUCAAUGCACAGCACAAAGAGAUCAAUCAAUACAGCUCUUCAUCAAAGCUACAAGAAUCCUCUGAAUGAUAUAGAUAAGAAUCUGUCAGACAUCCCAUUCAACUAUAGCAGUUCCAAGCAGACUAAGAAACUCAAGUUGCAGACAAGAGAUCAUUGACAGUAGUGAGUACUCUAUACAUUGUUGAGAACUGUGUACUGUGUUCAGCACUCACAUCAGAAAGAUAUUGCACAGUGAAGAUAUUCAAGUCAGCUGUCAAUCUGCAAUGAUUUGAUGCAGAGAAGGCUCUUCAGAGAGUGUUCACAAAGAAUUUGCAUCAAUUCUGAAACUGAGUUCUUGGAAAGCUGAAAUAUGAAAAGGAAGACUGCAAACUCAAAGAUAUCAAGAAGACAAAUUUGCUCAAGAGCAACUGAAAGUAUUUUCAAGACUAUUAUAGAAAAAUGACAGAAAAUGAAAUCAGUGAGAAGAUGAGUGAAGAUAUUCAGUAAAUACAUCUAUACAAUACUCUUCUGCAUCUUCAUAUGGCACUGACAUCUCUGCUGAUAGAGCAUACAGUCUCUGGCUGAUAAACACAGUCUUAACAAUCAGUCAUACAAGAACAUUUUCAUCUACAUCAAGAAUAUAAUUCCCUUCAACCAGACAAUUCUUCAGAUACAAAAGAAGCAAUUUCAUCUGAAACUGCAACAUCUUCUGCUGUGCUUCUAUAACAUACUGAGUCUGUUUACAGUCAAUUAAGAGAGUGCUAUUCUGAACCUUCAAUACAAGAAUCUGCUUCUGUCUGUGCAGAAGAAUUCAUAUAAAGAACUCUCUGUAUCAACAGUCAACUUC
Molecule: small RNA, 1207 nt
Filed under: Histoplasma capsulatum
Lineage: Eukaryota; Fungi; Ascomycota; Eurotiomycetes; Onygenales; Ajellomycetaceae
Also listed under: 1 other name
Description: hypothetical RNA
Source: RNAcentral